Molecule: ribosomal RNA, 382 nt
Filed under: uncultured marine Chaetocerotaceae
Lineage: Eukaryota; Bacillariophyta; Thalassiosirophyceae; Chaetocerotales; Chaetocerotaceae
Description: SSU rRNA
Rfam family: Eukaryotic small subunit ribosomal RNA
Source: RNAcentral
AGCUUCAGUAGCGUAUAUUAAAGUUGUUGCAGUUAAAAAGCUCGUAGUCGCAUUUCUGGCGAGAGGAUCCGGUCCGACCUUUUGGUGGGUUCUUGGGUCUCUUUCGCCAUCCUUGAGUGGUCCGUUCUGGCAUUAGGUUGUCGGAGCGUCAGCCGCUCAUCGUUUACUGUGAGAAAAUUAGAGUGUUCAAAGCAGGCUUAUGCCGUUGAAUAUAUUAGCAUGGAAUAAUAAGAUAGGACCUCGGUACUAUUUUGUGUGUUUGCGCACCAAGGUAAUGAUGAACAGGGACAGUUGGGGGUAUUUGUAUUUCGUUGUCAGAGGUGAAAUUCUUAGAUUUACGAAAGACAAACUACUGCGAAAGCAUUUACCAAGGAUGUUUUCA